AGAGUUUGAUCAUGGCUCAGGAUGAACGCUGGCGGCGUGUUUAAGGCAUGCAAGUCGAACGAUUCUUUACGAAUAGUGGCAAACGGGAGAGUAACACAUUGGUAACGUACCUCGAAGUCGUGAAUAACCCAUUGAAAAGUGGACUAAUACACGAUAAAGAUGGGGGGUCAUAGGACAUUCCCAUUUAAAGUUCCGACGCUUCGAGAACGGCCUAUGUCCUAUCAGUUAGUUGGUGAGGUAAAAGCUCACCAAGACUUCAACGGGUAGCGGGUGUGAGAGCAUGACCCGUCUCACUGGGACUGAGACACGGCCCAGACUCCUACGGGAGGCUGCAGUCAAGAAUCUUCCGCAAUGCCCGAAAGGGUGACGGAGCGACGCCGCGUGAUUGAUGAAGCCCUUCGGGGUGUAAAGAUCUUUUCUUUGGGAAGAACAAAUGACAGUACCUUAGGAAUAAGGGGUUGCUAACUCUGUGCCAGCAGCAGCGGUAAUACAGAGACCCCGAGCGUUAUCCGGAUUUAUUGGGCGUAAAGCGUGCGCAGGCUGUUUUUCAAGUUAAAAGUUAAAUACCGAGGCUUAACCUCGGAACUGCUUUUAAAACUGAUAAACUAGAGUCUGGAAGAGGCAAGUGGAAUUGCCGGUGUAGGGGUAAAAUCCGUUAAUAUCGGCAGGAACACCAAAUGCGAAGGCAACUUGCUAGGACAGUACUGACGCUGUUGCACGAAAGCGUGGGGAGCGAAGAGGAUUAGAUACCCUCGUAGUCCACGCCGUAAACGAUGGGCACUAGACAUUGGAAGUAUCGACCCUUUCAGUGUCGUUUUACUAAAGCUAACGCGUUAAGUGCCCCGCCUGGGGAGUACGGCCGCAAGGCUAAAACUCAAAGGAAUUGACGGGA
This 892-nucleotide ribosomal RNA is filed under the name uncultured bacterium. Its description in RNAcentral is "bacterial SSU rRNA". It matches the Rfam family "Bacterial small subunit ribosomal RNA", at positions 8 to 918 of the family's 1533-position model. The record is from RNAcentral.